RNAcentral lists this transfer RNA (86 nucleotides) under Anaerolineae bacterium. RNAcentral's name for it is "tRNA-Tyr". It matches the Rfam family "tRNA". From Rfam's summary of the family: Transfer RNA (tRNA) molecules are approximately 80 nucleotides in length. The record is from RNAcentral. Lineage: Bacteria; Bacillati; Chloroflexota; Anaerolineae.
GGGCAGGUACCCAAGUGGCCAAAGGGGACUGACUGUAAAUCAGUUGGCUGACGCCUUCGGGGGUUCGAAUCCUCCCCUGCCCACCU